This 468-nucleotide ribosomal RNA is filed under the name uncultured bacterium. Its description in RNAcentral is "partial 16S ribosomal RNA". It matches the Rfam family "Bacterial small subunit ribosomal RNA", at positions 28 to 507 of the family's 1533-position model. The record is from RNAcentral.
GACGAACGCUGGCGGCGUGCUUAACACAUGCAAGUCGAACGGAAAGGCCCUGCUUUUGUGGGGUGCUCGAGUGGCGAACGGGUGAUUAACACGUGAGUAACCUGCCCUUGACUUUGGGAUAACUUCAGGAAACUGGGGCUAAUACCGGAUAGGAGCUCCUGCUGCAUGGUGGGGGUUGGAAAGUUUCGGCGGUUGGGGAUGGACUCGCGGCUUAUCAGCUUGUUGGUGGGGUAGUGGCUUACCAAGGCUUUGACGGGUAGCCGGCCUGAGAGGGUGACCGGCCACAUUGGGACUGAGAUACGGACCAGACUCCUACGGGAGGCAGCAGGGGGGAAUAUUGCACAAUGGGCGGAAGCCUGAUGCAGCAACGCCGCGUGCGGGAUGACGGCCUUCGGGUUGUAAACCGCUUUCGCCUGUGACGAAGCGUGAGUGACGGUAAUGGGUAAAGAAGCACCGGCUAACUACGUG